GGACCAGGGGAAUCCGAGUGUUUAAUUAAAACAAAGCAUCGCGAAGGCCGCGGUGUUGACGCGAUGUGAUCUCUGCCCAGCGCUCUGAAUGCCAAAGUGAAGAAACUCAGUGGAGCGCGGGCAGCGGCGGGAGGAACUGUGACUCUCUAAGGUGGCCAAAUGCCUCGCCAUCUAAUUAGUGACGCGCAUGAACGAGAUUCCC
RNAcentral lists this non-coding RNA (202 nucleotides) under Patagioenas fasciata monilis. RNAcentral describes it as "Eukaryotic large subunit ribosomal RNA". It matches the Rfam family "Eukaryotic large subunit ribosomal RNA", at positions 2121 to 2329 of the family's 3401-position model. The record is from Rfam by way of RNAcentral. Lineage: Eukaryota; Metazoa; Chordata; Aves; Columbiformes; Columbidae.